GGGAGUCAUAUUUGUUUUACACUAACAGGAAACUAUGAAAACAAGUAGAUGAGUUUCAGCAUUAAAUUUCUUCAUAAUCCAUUAAGUGAGUAGCUACUAUAAAGAGCUGAGUCAGUAACUGUACAUGCAUUCAAGGAGCCUCUCUGUAUAAGCACUUCCGUUAAAGCUCUAACCUCGUUUUCAUGUCAUUACAGCUAAAAUGAAUAAAAAGCAAAACACUGAGUCUUUGAGAGGGCAGUUACAGUUGAGAUCUGUUAGAUACCUACAAUAUACUCAAAUGGAGAAUUGUAACGGUAAUUCUGUUUUAAAAUGUGUUAUUUAUGUGUCUACUAUAUUUUAAUGUCUGUUUCUGUUUUUAGGGACUUACCCUUUUGUAACCUCUUCAAAUUGUACUGUUGGAGGUGUUUGUACUGGUUUGGGUAUGCCACCUCAAAAUGUUGGAGAAGUGUAUGGAGUUGUGAAAGCUUAUACAACUAGAGUUGGUAUUGGUGCCUUUCCUACAGAGCAAGACAAUGAAAUUGGAGAAUUAUUACAAACAAGGGGUAGAGAGUUUGGUGUAACUACUGGAAGGAAAAGAAGAUGUGGCUGGUUGGACCUCGUUUUGCUCAAAUAUGCUCAUAUGAUCAAUGGAUUUACUGCGUUGGCACUUACCAAGUUGGAUAUUUUGGACAUGUUUACGGAAAUCAAAGUUGGAGUUGCUUACAAGUUAGAUGGUGAAAUCAUACCUCAUAUCCCAGCAAACCAAGAAGUCUUAAAUAAAGUUGAAGUUCAAUAUAAGACCCUCCCAGGAUGGAACACAGACAUAUC
RNAcentral lists this small RNA (807 nucleotides) under Pongo abelii (Sumatran orangutan). RNAcentral's name for it is "processed transcript". The record is from RNAcentral. Lineage: Eukaryota; Metazoa; Chordata; Mammalia; Primates; Hominidae.